ACUUGUGGCGCACUGGAAGUACGUCACUUGUCGCAGUAAAACAACGUUUUCAACACGGGUUCCUGCAAGGAGAUAGAUUCAGUUCCUGCAUAAAUGACUGGUGGCAGCCUGCAUCACAUAGAAGAUGAACAGGGGUGACUGGGGAAACCCCGGCCAUGGCAGCCAUCCUCCAUAUGGAAGCUCUUCCCCCGUCAAUUUCUCACGGAAGGUGAUAAUUCUGACUAAAACUACAGAAUAAAGCAGCCAGUUAAAAUCAAGGAACGGUUGUGCUCGUGGUUACUGAAGGGAGCUACACUAUCAAUUUUGCCUAGAGUUGCAGAGAGGGCGUACACGUGUUUGCACUUGAGAAGGAACAGGCCAAGAUGGGUGGGAGGAUCUUCCUGGUCACCAGUUACAGUGAGCUAUGGCAUUACUACAGUAUGUGUGUGAGAAGCUGGAGGUGUAUGGGAUUGAACCUUGAAUCCAGUACAGAGGAAAAAUUCAGUUGCCAUCUCAUCAACAAACUAGAAUGGUCCAAACACACCAAGACAGUUGUGAAGAGGGCACGACAAAGCCUAUUCCCCCUCA
Molecule: long non-coding RNA, 567 nt
Organism: Oncorhynchus tshawytscha (Chinook salmon)
Lineage: Eukaryota; Metazoa; Chordata; Actinopteri; Salmoniformes; Salmonidae
Exons: 5
Source: RefSeq, a predicted model, not a curated record